CAGCCGCCACGGGAAUACGGAGGAUCCAAGCGUUAUCCGGAUUUAUUGGGUUUAAAGGGUGCGUAGGUGGCCUGUUAAGUCAGGGGUGAAAGACGGUAGCUUAACUAUCGCAGUGCCCUUGAUACUGAUGGGCUUGAACGAACUAGAGGUAGGCGGAAUGUGACAAGUAGCGGUGAAAUGCAUAGAUAUGUCACAGAACACCGAUUGCGAAGGCAGCUUACUAUGGUUUUAUUGACACUGAAGCACGAAAGCUAGGGGAGCAAACAGGAUUAGAUACCCCCGUAGUCCCUGUCUCUUAUAU
This 301-nucleotide ribosomal RNA is filed under the name uncultured bacterium. RNAcentral's name for it is "partial 16S ribosomal RNA". It matches the Rfam family "Bacterial small subunit ribosomal RNA", at positions 509 to 809 of the family's 1533-position model. The record is from RNAcentral.